RNAcentral lists this transfer RNA (73 nucleotides) under Felis catus (domestic cat). It matches the Rfam family "tRNA". From Rfam's summary of the family: Transfer RNA (tRNA) molecules are approximately 80 nucleotides in length. Their secondary structure includes four short double-helical elements and three loops (D, anti-codon, and T loops). Lineage: Eukaryota; Metazoa; Chordata; Mammalia; Carnivora; Felidae. The record is from Rfam by way of RNAcentral. RNAcentral also lists the same sequence under 1 other name.
ACCUGGCUGGCUCAGUCAGUAGAGCAUGAGACUCUUGAUCUUGUGGCCAUGAGUUCAAGCCCCACAUUGGGUG